This 67-nucleotide microRNA precursor is filed under the name Podarcis lilfordi (Lilford's wall lizard). Lineage: Eukaryota; Metazoa; Chordata; Lepidosauria; Squamata; Lacertidae. The record is from RNAcentral.
UAAGUUUGUUCUUGGUAUAAGCUUUCGUGUGCAUGCAUACUGAAAGCUGAUACCAAGAACAAACUUA